ACCGGGAGUGGUCGUUCAAUACUGCGGGGCUUGAGGGCAGAAGAGGGGGGUGGAAUUGCUGGUGUAGUGGUGAAAUGCGUAGAUAUCAGCAGGAACACCUGUGGCGAAAGCGGCCCCCUGGUCUGCUCCUGACACUCAGACGCGAAAGCUAGGGGAGUGAACGGGAUUAGAAACCCCGGUAAUCCUAGCCGUAAACGAUGGAUGCUAGGUGUGGGUGGUAUUGACCCCAUCCGUGCCGAAGCCAACGCGUUAAGCAUCCCGCCUGGGGACUACGGCCGCAAGGUUAAAACUCAAAGGAAUUGACGGGGACCCGCACAAGCAGCGGAGCGUGUGGUUUAAUUCGAUGCUACACGAAGAACCUUACCCAGGUUUGACAUGCAGGUAGUAGUGAAGCGAAAGCGGAACGACUCG
This 411-nucleotide ribosomal RNA is filed under the name uncultured bacterium. RNAcentral describes it as "bacterial SSU rRNA". It matches the Rfam family "Bacterial small subunit ribosomal RNA", at positions 612 to 1019 of the family's 1533-position model. The record is from RNAcentral.